Long non-coding RNA from Parasteatoda tepidariorum (common house spider), 1164 nucleotides. The record is from RefSeq and is a predicted model, not a curated record. Lineage: Eukaryota; Metazoa; Arthropoda; Arachnida; Araneae; Theridiidae.
CUAUAUAAAAAUUUAUGCUUAUAGCUUACACCUAUGCAUUUUCACUUCAGUUAAUGAUUCUUGGCACUGUUGCUUUCUGAAUCGUACUCUUGUUUAUAACCGUCGUUAUACUUUCAGUAAAUAAAUGUAAAUAAACAAAUGUGACCUGCUCCGAUUACAUUUCAAUGAAUUUUAUUUUAUUUACUGAACAUUAACUUCAUAUGAUGUCAUAUUGCGCUGCAUUUGGAUGCAAUAACGCUAAAAUUAAACCCAACUGCAAAGAAAAAUCGUUUUUUGCGUUUCCAGUUCAUAAUAAAGUGCAAUUACUAUUGUGGUUACUCAAUGUCAGGCGUGCUAAUUUCGUUCCAACCAAAUAUACUGUUCUGUGUUCUGACCAUUUUGAAGAAGAAUGUUUUAAGCAUAAAAAUUUUACAAAGAGAAGAUUACUAAAGAAGGGAGCUAUUCCUACAAAAUUUAUCUUUUCAAAGAGCAAGGACUGAAAGCACGAAAACCAGUGCAAUUUUAAUCGUGUUUCAAGUGCAGAAGAUCAGCAGGACAAAAUUUCAUGGAAGGUUGAUUGUAUUUCAAGUUCAUUCUUUUUAUGCAUUUCAUCUUUUUACCCAGCAUCAGAAGGUUCAGAUUCUUCUGAAUCUCUUGGUGAAGUAUAACACAAAGAUCGAAGAAACCAUGUGUUAUUGAAUAUAAUAUGAAAUGUUUCAGAAUAAAUUGCCAGCUAAUGGCACAACAGAGAAAAUGUUUUAUGAAACGUACAAACAGAUGUUGUAUUUCUAAAAGAUGGAAGAGGAAGACAUGGAAAGUUAAAACAGCUGAUGAAAUAAAACAAAGAUUUAGAAACUACAUACCGCAGCAUCCUGCACACCAAUAGUAACUAAAUCUUCCUCUAUUUCUUUCUAAUACGUAUAGAUUGUAUAAAAAUCAAUGAUAUAAUGCAGGGUUUAAACUACAAUUUUGAGACUUGUAAGCUGUGAAAUGUUUAUAGAUAAUUUGUAUAUUUUAGUGUAUAUAUUGAUUUAUUAGAUAGUGUGUUACACACUGUAUAUUUUUUGAUAAGGAAAAUAAUAUUUGAAUUGACACACCAUUAUUGUACAAAGCCUUUAUUAACUGGUCAAUUUAAAAAAGUUUUAGUUUAAAAGCAUUUUUGUAAUAAAAUUACUGUUGAAUGUA